Molecule: ribosomal RNA, 232 nt
Filed under: uncultured bacterium
Lineage: Bacteria
Description: partial 16S ribosomal RNA
Rfam family: Bacterial small subunit ribosomal RNA
Source: RNAcentral
CGGGACGGGUGAGUAAUGUCUGGGAAACUGCCUGAUGGAGGGGGAUAACUACUGGAAACGGUAGCUAAUACCGCAUAACGUCGCAAGACCAAAGAGGGGGACCUUCGGGCCUCUUGCCAUCGGAUGUGCCCAGAUGGGAUUAGCUAGUAGGUGGGGUAAAGGCUCACCUAGGCGACGAUCCCUAGCUGGUCUGAGAGGAUGACCAGCCACACUGGAACUGAGCACGGUCCAG